This 253-nucleotide ribosomal RNA is filed under the name uncultured bacterium. RNAcentral's name for it is "partial 16S ribosomal RNA". It matches the Rfam family "Bacterial small subunit ribosomal RNA", at positions 524 to 776 of the family's 1533-position model. The record is from RNAcentral.
UACGUAGGGUGCAAGCGUUGUCCGGAUUCAUUGGGCGUAAAGAGCUUGUAGGCGGUUUGUUGCGUCGGGUGUGAAAUUUCGGGGCUCAACCCCGAACUUGCAGUGGGUACGGGCAGACUAGAGUGUGGUAGGGGAGACUGGAAUUCCUGGUGUAGCGGUGAAAUGCGCAGAUAUCAGGAGGAACACCGAUGGCGAAGGCAGGUCUCUGGGCCACUACUGACGCUGAGAAGCGAAAGCAUGGGGAGCGAACAGG